UCCCAGUUGGUCUAGUGGUUAGGAUCCGGCGCUCUCACCGCCGUGGCCGGGGUUCGAUUCCCCGACUGGGAG
This 72-nucleotide transfer RNA is filed under the name Capitella teleta. RNAcentral describes it as "tRNA-Glu for anticodon CUC". It matches the Rfam family "tRNA". From Rfam's summary of the family: Transfer RNA (tRNA) molecules are approximately 80 nucleotides in length. Their secondary structure includes four short double-helical elements and three loops (D, anti-codon, and T loops). The record is from Rfam by way of RNAcentral. Lineage: Eukaryota; Metazoa; Annelida; Polychaeta; Capitellidae.